RNAcentral lists this RNase P RNA (350 nucleotides) under Candidatus Omnitrophota bacterium. RNAcentral describes it as "Candidatus Omnitrophica bacterium (sediment metagenome) RNase P RNA component class A". It matches the Rfam family "Bacterial RNase P class A". Rfam says of the family: Ribonuclease P (RNase P) is a ubiquitous endoribonuclease, found in archaea, bacteria and eukarya as well as chloroplasts and mitochondria. Its best characterised activity is the generation of mature 5'-ends of tRNAs by cleaving the 5'-leader elements of precursor-tRNAs. The record is from RNAcentral. Lineage: Bacteria; Pseudomonadati; Candidatus Omnitrophota.
GGUGCGGGUCGGACGGUCGCGGGAUUUAUCCCGAGGAAAGUCCGGGCUUCCGAAGACAGCGUAGCGGGUAAUACCCGCCGCCGGGUGAUUUCCGGCCGGAUCAGAGCCACAGAGACGAGUCUCCUCCCGGGAAACCGGGCGGAGGGUGAAACGCGGCAAUCUCUACGCGAAGCAAGGCCAAGCAGGGGAGAAGCGCCUCAGGGCGCGCGCGUGUCUUCAGCGUUUGAUUCCCGGGUGGGCCGCUAGAAUUCGUCAGCAAUGGCGGAUCCAGAUGGAUGACCGUUUCCUUAAUCAGCUGCCGUCUGGCAGUGGUUGAGGCACAGAACCCGGCUUACAGGCCCGCAUCAUUU